RNAcentral lists this ribosomal RNA (300 nucleotides) under uncultured bacterium. RNAcentral describes it as "bacterial SSU rRNA". It matches the Rfam family "Bacterial small subunit ribosomal RNA", at positions 29 to 347 of the family's 1533-position model. The record is from RNAcentral.
AAUGAACGUUGGCGGCAUGGAUUAGGCAUGCAAGUCGAGCGAGAAGUCUUUUUUGCUUGCAUUAAAGAUGGACAGCGGCGAAAGGGAGAGUAACGCGUAGAAAUGUACCCCAAGGUCUGGGAUAGCGGCGGGAAACUGCCAGUAAUACCCGGAUAAUGUCUCCGGACCAAAGUUUUUCGCCUUGGGAGCAGUCUGCGUACUAUUAGCUUGUGUGGGUAAAGCCUACAGGCUGAGAUGGUAGCGGGCUGAGAGCGUGGCCCGUUCACUGGGACUGAGACACUGCCCAGACGUCUACGGACG